GAUGAACGCUAGCGGCAGGCCUAACACAUGCAAGUCGAGGGGGAGGAUACUUUCGGGUAACUGAGACUGGCGUACGGGUGCGUAACGCGUAUACAAUCUGCCUCUCACUGUGGGAUAGCGCGAAGUUAUUUGGACUAAUACUCCAUCGUAUAGUUAUAUGGCAUCGUGAUGUUAUUAAAGCUUAGGCGGUGAAAGAUGAGCAUGCGUUCUAUUAGCUAGUUGGUUAGGUAACGGCUCGCCAAGGCGAUGAUAGAUAGGGGUGCUGAGAGGGAUGUCCCCCACACUGGUACUGCGAUACGGACCAGACUCCUACGGGGGGCAGCAGUGAGGAAUAUUGGAGGAGGGUCGGUAGACUGAUACAGCCAUGCCGCGUGCAGGAUGAAGGUCUUAUGGAUUGUAAACUGCUUUUGAAAAGGAAGAAUAAAGGCUACGCGUAGUUUGAUGACGGUACCUUACGAGAAAGCAUCGGCUAACUCCGUG
This 480-nucleotide ribosomal RNA is filed under the name uncultured bacterium. Its description in RNAcentral is "partial 16S ribosomal RNA". It matches the Rfam family "Bacterial small subunit ribosomal RNA", at positions 28 to 507 of the family's 1533-position model. The record is from RNAcentral.